UAAUUGCAAGACUGAGAAGACAGAAGCAGAUGGAUCUCUGCCAAGGCAAACGUGGAUGUCUCUGACCCCAGAGCCUGUGCACAUGCUGUCUCCCCAUGUGCCAUGUUUUCCUGCAUGGAUGCUUUCUGUGAACACUCACUGAUUGUUUCCUGCUGGUCCUUUCGGCUCUCCAAGUUGCAUAAUCCUGGCAGCUGCCUAGAAGGAAGGCUCAUGUGUCCGGUCUGUCCCAGCUGGAUGAACCAUUUGGGGGUGUUCUAUAACCUCAGGAAUGUCACUUGGAGGGAGUGGAAAGUCACUGAGGGUGGGCUUCAAGUUUUAUGACCUGGCCCUGCUUUCUCUGCUACUGCCAUAGAGCCACUCACCACUAAUAUGGGUUACGAUGCCUUAGAAC
This is a long non-coding RNA of Mesocricetus auratus (golden hamster), 391 nucleotides long. RefSeq lists it as uncharacterized. The transcript is spliced from 3 exons. The record is from RefSeq and is a predicted model, not a curated record. NCBI's taxonomy places the organism in Eukaryota, Metazoa, Chordata, Mammalia, Rodentia, Cricetidae.